This 336-nucleotide unclassified non-coding RNA is filed under the name uncultured fungus. RNAcentral describes it as "partial contains small subunit ribosomal RNA, internal transcribed spacer 1, and 5.8S ribosomal RNA". The stretch from base 1 to 73 matches the Rfam family "Eukaryotic small subunit ribosomal RNA", at positions 1759 to 1831 of the family's 1831-position model. Lineage: Eukaryota; Fungi. The record is from RNAcentral.
GCAAACUUGGUCAUUUAGAGGAAGUAAAAGUCGUAACAAGGUUUCCGUAGGUGAACCUGCGGAAGGAUCAUUACAAAUCCAUCACGUCUCAUUCCUGAGACCACGUUGAAAUGUUCCCUGGUGUUGUUGCCGUCCGCCGUUGUCGGCGCGGGGGCAGCAGCACUGGGCUCGUGCAAUCACACACACUAGUACAUCCUCUGUUGCCCAAUUGUACCUCUCACCUGACCUCUCGUGCCCGUCCGUACCAUGCGUACGCGCGUGCACAUGAUCAGGGCGAACAAAAGUACAACUUAUAACAAUGGAUCUCUAGGCUCUUGCAUCGAUGAAGAACGCAGC